Long non-coding RNA from Mastomys coucha (southern multimammate mouse), 1037 nucleotides. RefSeq lists it as uncharacterized. The transcript is spliced from 2 exons. Lineage: Eukaryota; Metazoa; Chordata; Mammalia; Rodentia; Muridae. The record is from RefSeq and is a predicted model, not a curated record.
GGGAAGUUCUAAGCUUUGCAAGCAUCCCGUCAAGAUCAACUCUGCCUGAGCAAGUGGCCACCACAGCUCCAGGAAAGGAAGCCUGAGAUGGUCAUAGGAGUAGCAAGCAGUACAUGAACACCACUGAGCUCAGGAAGGAGAGACCGAAGAGGACGAUGGCCUUUCACUUUUAGGAGGCCAUCUCCAGCUUUUCAAAGAGAAGAGAAAACAAGUAAAGCUGCAAAGCGGAGAAAAGGUUGACAGUGAAUCGUUCACCAUCUGAAGGGUCUUUGUUAUGACUCAUCCAGGCCUUCCUUUCUCCUUCCCUCUUAGCUGGAAGGCAGUGUGCUUUGUCACCCCUUCGGAGACAUUUUCUCCCUUGUGACUCCCUAGUUACAGCAUUUCAGUUUUAGAUCAAGGAUGGCUUGUCUCUCUUUGUGCUGUAGAUGUGACUACCUCCCCUAUCAGGGAAUGAUGACUUGUAUAUAAAUACAAUAAGACUAAAAUGAUAUAGGCUAAUUAGAGCUUAGCUCUGUAAUGACCCAAAUCCCAGAGGAAGGGACAUAUGACUCACAGUCUAGAUACAGUCCCUUCUAGGCACUUGGAGUUCACAGCUACAGUUUAGGGGUAUACUCUGCAGCUAAAGUCCUGGAGUUCCUCUCACUAGAACUGUCCACUACCAAAUGGAUAAGUAUGCUUGCUCUUUGAUGGGAUGACAGAAAUAAUCUCAUUAACUGGUGCUAACAUGAGCUCCACACAGCUCGAUCUGAUAGAAUUAAGAUGGGAUAGCCCAGAAUCUAGAGACAGCACUUUGGUUAGUGUGAGGAGUCCUUGGCAGAAGGACCAGUCAAAAGAGGAAUACUGUCUUUCUUUUACUCAGAACAGAGGUCUAACAUUGAAAUAUGGGUUCAGGAUCUUCAACCUUGACCUAUUGAACUUUGACCUUGAGCCUAAGCUAUUGAGCUUUAACCUUGAAUCUGACUGCCUGUGUGCUUUCCUUGAAUGUAAAGAUGGAGAUGUGGUGAGGUAGAAGAAUAAUAAGUGGACUGUCUCAGCAA